ACGCACUGUUCGUAAUCAGUUGCCAUACUCGUUGGUAGUUGGUUCCAUUCCGGUGCUAUAGAAACCCCCUUAAGGACAAUGCAGGCCGCUCCUGUUGGGCUGAUGCUCUUUUUGGGGAACAUCU
This is a small nucleolar RNA of Xenopus tropicalis (tropical clawed frog), 124 nucleotides long. NCBI's taxonomy places the organism in Eukaryota, Metazoa, Chordata, Amphibia, Anura, Pipidae. The record is from Ensembl.